UGUAGAUUUUUUAUUCGUCUUAUUUGAUUUUUUAUUAUUAAUAUUUUUGUUGCUAUUAGAUAAUAAAAUAUGAAUAAUACUUUAUACGUGACUUAUUUUUUAAAUAAGACGGAUAGUCAAACGUUGGACACGAAAACUCAC
RNAcentral lists this microRNA precursor (141 nucleotides) under Oryza barthii. RNAcentral describes it as "MIR812 microRNA precursor family". It matches the Rfam family "MIR812 microRNA precursor family", at positions 27 to 192 of the family's 205-position model. The record is from Rfam by way of RNAcentral. Lineage: Eukaryota; Viridiplantae; Streptophyta; Magnoliopsida; Poales; Poaceae.